AGGGUUCGAUCAUGGCUCAGGACGAACGCUGGCGGUGCGCCUUAUGCAUGCAAGUCGAGCGAAGCUUUUCAGUAGUUUACUACAGAAAAUGACUGAGCGGCGAACGGGUGAGUAACGCGUGAGCAACCUACCUUAGUUACUGGGAUAGCCCGAGGAAACUCGGAUUAAUACCGGAUAUUCUUAUUUAAUCACAUGAUUUUUUAAGGAAAGGUCAGCCGAACUAAGAUGGGCUCGCGUUCUAUCAGCUAGUUGGUAGGGUAAUGGCCUACCAAGGCUACGACGGAUAGCUGGUCUGAGAGGACGAUCAGCCACACUGGGACUGAGACACGGCCCAGACUCCUACGGGAGGCUGCAGCAGGGAAUAUUGCGCAAUGAGCGAAAGCUUGACGCAGCGACACCGCGUGUGGGAUGACGGAUCUAGGUUUGUAAACCACUUUCAGGAGGGAAGAAAAUGACGGUACCUCCACAAGAAGCCCCGGCCAACUACGUGCCAGCCGCCGCGGUAAUA
This 508-nucleotide ribosomal RNA is filed under the name uncultured bacterium. RNAcentral describes it as "bacterial SSU rRNA". It matches the Rfam family "Bacterial small subunit ribosomal RNA", at positions 8 to 525 of the family's 1533-position model. The record is from RNAcentral.